GGGCGCAAGCCUGAACCAGCCAUGCCGCGUGCAGGAAGACGGCCCUAUGGAUUGUAAACUGCUUUUAUACGNGAAAAAACCUCCCUACGAGUAGGGACUUGACGGGACUGUACGAAUAAAGAUCGGCUAACUCCNUGCCAGCCCCCCCGGC
This 151-nucleotide ribosomal RNA is filed under the name uncultured Bacteroidota bacterium. Its description in RNAcentral is "uncultured Bacteroidetes bacterium partial 16S ribosomal RNA". It matches the Rfam family "Bacterial small subunit ribosomal RNA", at positions 373 to 521 of the family's 1533-position model. The record is from RNAcentral. Lineage: Bacteria; Pseudomonadati; Bacteroidota.